Molecule: ribosomal RNA, 555 nt
Filed under: Vibrio gigantis
Lineage: Bacteria; Pseudomonadati; Pseudomonadota; Gammaproteobacteria; Vibrionales; Vibrionaceae
Description: bacterial SSU rRNA
Rfam family: Bacterial small subunit ribosomal RNA
Source: RNAcentral
AUUAGCUAGUUGGUGAGGUAAUGGCUCACCAAGGCGACGAUCCCUAGCUGGUCUGAGAGGAUGAUCAGCCACACUGGAACUGAGACACGGUCCAGACUCCUACGGGAGGCAGCAGUGGGGAAUAUUGCACAAUGGGCGAAAGCCUGAUGCAGCCAUGCCGCGUGUAUGAAGAAGGCCUUCGGGUUGUAAAGUACUUUCAGUUGUGAGGAAGGGGGUAGCGUUAAUAGCGCUAUCUCUUGACGUUAGCAACAGAAGAAGCACCGGCUAACUCCGUGCCAGCAGCCGCGGUAAUACGGAGGGUGCGAGCGUUAAUCGGAAUUACUGGGCGUAAAGCGCAUGCAGGUGGUUCAUUAAGUCAGAUGUGAAAGCCCGGGGCUCAACCUCGGAACUGCAUUUGAAACUGGUGAACUAGAGUACUGUAGAGGGGGGUAGAAUUUCAGGUGUAGCGGUGAAAUGCGUAGAGAUCUGAAGGAAUACCAGUGGCGAAGGCGGCCCCCUGGACAGAUACUGACACUCAGAUGCGAAAGCGUGGGGAGCAAACAGGAUUAGAUACCC